Molecule: ribosomal RNA, 299 nt
Filed under: uncultured soil bacterium
Lineage: Bacteria
Description: partial 16S ribosomal RNA
Rfam family: Bacterial small subunit ribosomal RNA
Source: RNAcentral
AGAUUGAACGCUGGCGGCAGGCCUAACACAUGCAAGUCGAGCGGCAGCACGGGUACUUGUACCUGGUGGCGAGCGGCGGACGGGUGAGUAAUGCCUAGGAAUCUGCCUGGUAGUGGGGGAUAACGCUACGGAAACGGACGCUAAUACCGCAUACGUCCUACGGGAGAAAGCAGGGGACCUUCGGGCCUUGCGCUAUCAGAUGAGCCUAGGUCGGAUUAGCUAGGUUGGUGGGUAAUGGCUCACCAAGGCGACGAUCCGUAACUGGUCUGAGAGGAUGAUCAGUCACACUGGAACUGAGA